AUUGAACGCUGGCGGAAUGCUUUACACAUGCAAGUCGAACGGCAGCACGGACUUCGGUCUGGUGGCGAGUGGCGAACGGGUGAGUAAUAUAUCGGAACGUAUCCAAUAAUGGGGGAUAACUAAUCGAAAGGUUGGCUAAUACCGCAUACGUCCUACGGGAGAAAGCUAGGGACCUUCGGGCCUGGCGUUAAUGGAGCGGCCGAUAUCGGAUUAGCUAGUUGGUGGGGUAAAGGCUCGCCAAGGCGACGAUCCGUAGCUGGUCUGAGAGGACGACCAGCAACACUGGAACUGAGACACGGUCCAGACGCCUACGGGAGGCAGCAGUGGGGAAUUUUGGACAAUGGGCGAAAGCCUGAUCCAGCCAUUCCGCGUGAGUGAAGAAGGCCUUCGGGUUGUAAAGCUCUUUCGCAAGAGAAGAAAACUUACCCUCUAACAUAGGGUGAGGUUGACGGUAUCUUGAUAAGAAGCACCGGCUAACUACGUGCCAGCCGCCGCGGUAA
Molecule: ribosomal RNA, 500 nt
Filed under: uncultured bacterium
Lineage: Bacteria
Description: partial 16S ribosomal RNA
Rfam family: Bacterial small subunit ribosomal RNA
Source: RNAcentral